This is a non-coding RNA of Lupinus albus (white lupine), 409 nucleotides long. NCBI's taxonomy places the organism in Eukaryota, Viridiplantae, Streptophyta, Magnoliopsida, Fabales, Fabaceae. The record is from the annotation of a GenBank genome assembly.
UCUUUUGCUUUUUGGGCAUAAAGCAUGUAAGAUAAAGUUUCUUCCUCUCCUUCAAAUUAACGCAGGGUGAUGAAGUGUGAAGGUGUAAUCUUUGAGAGACUAAUAACCAGUUCAUGUAACAAUCAUGUGUGAAGAAGAUUUUUGCUCCUGACCUUGACACGAUUUUGAUGAAGACACUAACAUCACCAAAAAGAAGAAAGGAAGAAUACUUAUGAAGACAAAGAAGAAAAAGCUUCAAGACAAAUUAGUCUAAGUCUAAAUAGGUACUUCUAUCCUAUACUCUCGAAUAUACUUUAGUAGUAAUGCUCAAAUUAUUUUUAAAGAAGAUUGAAACAUAAGUAUAAUCAAAACAAUUUUCAACAAUAGUAUGUAACGGGUUACUGUACUUAAGUAACAGAUUACAUGUGUG